Molecule: long non-coding RNA, 2190 nt
Filed under: Xyrichtys novacula (pearly razorfish)
Lineage: Eukaryota; Metazoa; Chordata; Actinopteri; Labriformes; Labridae
Source: RNAcentral
AAAAAACGCCAAGGGUUAACAACAUUAACCUUGUUUAUAAAGGCUUGAAUCACUUUGGUCGACUUGGAUUGGGAAGAAUGAUUUAAGUAUGGAUUAAUCCAGCAGUUGAAGUCUCCACCUAAGAUUAAAUCAUACAUGGACAAGUCAGGUAGCAUUGAGAAAACCUGUCUAAAAAAGACUCAUCAUCCCAGUUGGGGGCAUAAAAAUGUGUCCUAUGACCUGCAAUAAACCUGCCACCAGAAUCAGACAUUGUCUCAAUAUAAACAAAAGGAAUAUCAAAAGGAUUUGGCUCCCCCCUGUGGACCGAAGCAGAGAGAGCAUCAAAGAUAACAAAAGGUAAAAGGAGGAGAGAAGGAAACAAGGGAGGAGAAGAGGAAAUAAGGAAGGAGGGGAGGAGGAAACAAAGGAGAGGGGAAGGAAACAAAAGAAGGGAGGAUGAAAUAAGGGAGGAGAAAGGAGGAAUAGAGGUAGUUCAGGCAGGUCGCUGAGUCAAGCUGAUCUUAAACCAGCCCUCAGUUAGCUUACAGCUCAGGUGAUCGCCCUCUACACAUCCUAUUGGCUAAUGUCAAAAUGGCGCCCUAUUUAAACUGCUUCUCCUGUCUACUCUGCGUUUUUGCGUUUUCCUACCUUGCUCUUCAUCAUGUCGAUCCCUGCCCACGACAAGGAUCCACGGCAGAUUGACUGCUUUCUGAAACGCAGCACCAGCAUGUGAGGUCGAGGAAGCCAGUCCUUGCAAUGACAGAUGCGUUCCCUUCCGCACGAGCUCUCCUCUGGCAAGUAAAACUUUUAUGUCUCCCAGCUUCAUGAAGUCCAGGCUCCCGGAAGUCCUUUAAAGAUAACAUCACAGCUCCCGGUGGUGCCUCACAUCAAUAUCCACAUAGAGCCCCCACUUGCAGUUCUCUCUUCCUCCUCUGUAUCCAGAAAAGCGACCGAGAAAAGAAAACGCUGUUCCCGCCGCGUCACCGCCGCCGCCCGCAGAGCGCGAGGCCCAACCCCAGCCACCAGAACCGCGGACGUGGACGACAAUCCCAUCCUGAAAGCACUAUCCAGCAUCCAGCCAUCGCUCGCCCACAUGUCUUCGAGGAUCGAAGCCCCAGAAUCCGGUUCGGUACGUGCUAAGCUGUCCUCCUUCAUCCCAGCUGUCACCUUCUUUCACCGCGCUGAACGAUGACGUCACUCCAGCGACAACCUACGACAGCGUCACGAUCCCGCCAAAGACCCUGGGAAGUGCAGUCCCCGUCGCCACCGGCGUCCCAUUCUUCCCUCCCGCGGCUGCAAUUACACCGAAUCUGCGGAGCCAAAUCCUCGAAGGUACCGACAUUAAUCUUGUAAAUAAUCUUGCUGUGCUCCGACUACAACGAUAGACGCAUUGUGGAUUGCGGAGAUGAGUCUGUGAUGCUUAAAUAUCGUGAUGCGCGUCUGUUUAAAUCUCCGACCUUAGCUGAAUUCAUGUAGCUUUCUGCGUAUUUGGAAAUGUCAUAUGUGAAGUGUUUUCAGCACGCAGAACUGAACUGGACACAUAUCUUGCCAUUAUUUCUGAUUCAGACAUGACUUAUGGAAGAAUAUUAUUCUAGGAAUCUCACAAAUCAUUUUCAGCAAAGCUGCUAAGUACAUUCAAAGAUUCAACCAGACUUGAUUAGUCCGUAGGCGACCUGGCUCAACUCGACUUAGCAUCAAGCUUUUUCUUGUUCAAGCUGUGGGUCUUCCUCUCACACCCAGAGUAAGCCAGGAAGCAGGUAUGCAGCGGUACACAGCAGUACGCUGUUAAAUAGAUAAAUGAUUAUUAAAUAAACAAAUAAAUAGAUUUUAUGUUCAAGAGAGGGAGAGAGAGAUGCAGCAGAUGAUGGUACUGUGGCAUCAGAGUCGGCACCUCGCUAAAUGUGGGUAUACUCCUCUUGUUCAAAGCCCAUGGGCACAGUACAUGCAAGAACCUUAUCCUACGUUAACUAAGGUGACCAGACGUCCCCCAUUUCCGGGGACAGUCCCCGAAUAGGAUUACCUGUCCCUGGAAAAAGCUGUCCCCGAAAAUGGGUAAGGAAGCACAAGUAAGCAGUCCUGAGCAACAGUUGUUACGGGAGUUAUUACAAGGCCGAAUGUCCCCUGGUUUCAUUACAGAAAUCUGGUCACCUUAAUAUUAACCCCUGCUCACACCUCCAAUCUGUGCCCCAAAACUGUGGCUACAGGCCAACC